Molecule: non-coding RNA, 1069 nt
Organism: Cinara cedri
Lineage: Eukaryota; Metazoa; Arthropoda; Insecta; Hemiptera; Aphididae
Source: the annotation of a GenBank genome assembly
UCUAUAUCAAUGUUAGUAGGUAAACUUAGAUGUGUAUAUUAUAUUUUUUCACAGUAUUUAGUCAGUUACACGAAUUAAGAUAUAUUAUAUAGGUAUAUCUUAAUUCGUGGUCAGUUGUAUACAUGAGAAAAUGUACUUGCAUAUUAUAAUUGUCAAAAUUACUUUUGAGUAAGUACUCAAUCAUCUCUCUUUCUGUUCUGCUGCCAAAUCUUAAAUUUUUUUUAUUAGGUAUGUAAUUAUUAUAGCUCUUUAAACUUCCUCGUCCCACCACCAAGUUCCUUUGUUCUUUGUCAUAAUCUCACCGAUAUCCUUUGUAAUACCUACUUUGAAUACAAGUGGCCAUCCUUUCCCACACCUCGUUUAUGCUUCCCUUAAUAUUCUAUACAACCUUCUCUUUCACUUUAUUUAUACUCUUUUCCUUUGUCUCCCAUUAAUUUCUACCUUGGAAUGUUCGACUCUAUUCUUCUUUUAUUAUUUAUACUUUUGUGCACUUGCUUCCUGCAACAUCAAAACUCCAUGAGCAUUACCCUAUGUUAUUUUGUAACAUUAGGCUUUCAGUAAGUAGGAAUAUUUUUUAAUUGUAUUGUAAAAAUUAUUAUUUAGGGUAGGUACUUCUUUCUUCUACUGGCAUACCUACCUACUCUAAGAGUUUUUGCUUCCAUUCCCAGUUGUUUUGUCAAUGAUAGAUCCAUAUAUUUUCCUCCAUACUCUGCUUUCCAAAGUCUUCAAGUUUUUCUCUGUUUGCUUAAUGUUAAGAAUUUUGUCAGUGCGUAGCACGCUUUUUAGACAUUAUCUAUUCAAAUAAUUAUUUCCUUUGACUGUUCAUUGGGCACUAAUUUAUGAUAUGGGUUAGGAGUACUCGAGCUUUGAACUCACCUGGGUUGAUUCAUAAAACUAACUACACCUAAACCUCGGACAAGAUUACAUGGAUUUAAUUCUGGUUUUUGGAAACAGAAUGCUGAUUUUAAGAUUGCAACAUGGAUACAAAUAAACAUUAAAUCACCCUCUAUACCUCUGCUACCUUUCUAACUUCUCAUCUACAACAUUGAUCCACCUGUAGUUUGAAGUA